This is a long non-coding RNA of Myotis myotis, 1978 nucleotides long. RefSeq lists it as uncharacterized. The record is from RefSeq and is a predicted model, not a curated record. The transcript has 6 exons. NCBI's taxonomy places the organism in Eukaryota, Metazoa, Chordata, Mammalia, Chiroptera, Vespertilionidae.
ACAGAUAUUUUUAGCCCAUUUCUUCUUCUCAUCAAGAAACAUUUAUGUUAGACACUGGUAAUGCUGUCAAGAGUCAUAUAUGCUCUCUGUUCUCAGCACCAUGGUAUGGGCAGGAAGACAUGUAAGUCUAAUUAAGUGUUAGAUGUCAAGGUUCAUAAUAUGGGAGCUCAUUCUUCCUGGAGGGCUUAUCAGAGCAACAUGUUUGUCAGAAAGGAAAGUAGGUAAGAGAAUUCCAGAAAAGAAUGUGUGGAACACGGGCAGAUUCUAGGAUCCCUGUGGUUUGUUGUGAUAGAUGGAAUGGUGUGGUGGGGAUGCAGGGAGAGCAAGGCAGCAAUCAGGGCACCCUAAUAAUAAAUGUCCUCUUCUCAGUGGGGCCCUCUGGAGGAACUUUUGAAAGAUCUCCUUGGAUGUUGUGAGUAGGAUAAAGUGAAGCUAACAGAUUAUUUUAGGAUACUAUUUAAUACUCCAGGCUACAGAUUUAAAAGAAUUCCCACUACAGUGUCGUCAGAGGAGAUAGGAUAAGAUAAACACCCAGAAGUCAGAGCAGACAAGACUGGGGUUUGGAUGAAGAAAGAGAAGUAAGGCAGAUGUAAAGACUGAGUAGCAGAUCCAACCCUGCUGAAGGAGUAAACUUCCUACCCCAUAAAUGGCUUUGGACAUGAAAUCUGCGUGGAAGAGAUGUGUCCUUUUGGAACAGAAUUUUUAUGAGCCAUUGUUUCCACCAACUCGCCAUUUCUCCAUCGCCACGAGGCCCGCAACUCACCCUCCGUGGACAUAGAAACAAAGCAUCCACAUUAAAAGAUGGUGACGGGUGCAGUGAGAUGAAGCAGGCAACUUGCAAAUACAGACAACAGAAAACCAUUUUGUCAACAAAGCUGUAAUCUUGGACCCAUCUUUGAAAAGAUCUAGGCUCCUUACACAGGAUGGUGGACAUAAGAAGAGAUGUGAGAGCUGGAGGCCCAAGGACCAGAUCCACCAUCACCCCAGGUCAGGGCACAGACCACCUGCUGUGACCCUGGGACUAACCAUUAGAACAGUGUUUUAUCUGCUUUAGAGAACGCCUGUCAUACCAACAGAGAUCCUAAGAAAUUUGCCUUCACUUUAGUUUAGAUGAAGAGUGAUAGAGACCUGUGUGUUCUUCCUGGUCUGUUUCUGGGAGGCCAACCGGGCGAUGACAUUGGAUUCGUGGCCUUCUGCCUGGUUCGCAUCCGCAGCUCCACUCCCGUGUUCCUAUGAAAUCCAAGCCAUAAAGAAUGAGGAUGGAGGAAGCUACCAAGCACCUGGUUACUCUGCUGCAUUGUGCACAACUUCUCCAUUAUUCUCAUCUCAGAGUGCAACUGUCAUACCUGCCCGCCUGCUCUGGAGCUCACCCGUGACUACAGCCUGGCCCAUGGGUAGAAACAGGAGCAUCUAGACCCGGACCUGUUACCAACACUCCGGGUGACCUCACUUUAGGCUGACAGUUCUUAGUUUACAGGAGUAUAGUGGCUCACUCUGAAGGCAGGACAGACCUGAUUAGAAACCAGGCUUUAUCAGCAACCAGCUGCAUAACCUCGAGACUGUCAUUUAACUUCCCUGGGGGCUAUUUAACUCAAGUGUAAAAUGGAGAAAAUAAGAACAAUAUCAGCUACCUUAGAGGGCUAUUGUAAGAACUUGCUGAAGUAAUGGAAAUGCUUAGCACCUUAUGGGUGCUUAAUAAAUGGGGUGGAGAAGGUGUAAGUAUAUAAACAGUGGUAAUUACUGGGGAGAAAAUGGGCUGAGAGAGGCUACAGGAGCUGGUAGAGUCAAUGCUACAACAGUAGGUCCUCUGACCCAGGGUUCUCACAGCAUGCCAGCGGCCCCAGCUAUGGCCACAUACAGAGCACAUCACCCAGGUCAAAACAAAGUGCUGCCUGGCCAGUGUGGCUUAAUGGUUGAGCGUUGACCUAUGAACUAGGAGGUCAGGGCAUAUCAAGAAUCAACCAAUGGCCGAAACCGG